CUCCGGCCCCAGUUCACCGCCAGCACACGCCUGCUUCCCGUCUGCGCGAGUCCACGCAGCUCCCCAGGCCCUUCACCAGCACAGCAGCGGCAGGCAUGGCGGCAAGUGUGGAGCAGCGCGAGGACACCAUCCAGGUGCAGGGCCAGGCCCUCUUCUUCCGAGAGGCCCGGCCCGGCAGUGGGCAGGCUCACUUCUCUGUACUGCUGCUGCAUGGUAUUCGCUUCUCCUCCGAGACCUGGCAGAACCUGGGUACACUGCACAGGCUGGCCCAGGCUGGCUACCGGGCUGUGGCCAUUGACCUGCCAGGCCAUUUCCAGCACAUAGGAGAGAGAUUGGAAACCAACGUGCAGAACUGCCAGUCCCCUGACACACUAUGCCCCACCCACUGCAGCUCAGUGCUGAAUGAACCCUGCCCAGAGGUGUCUGUAGUGAGCUUCUGCCCUAGUGACUUUUGAGCCGGCCAGGUCACAGCGCGGACACACUCGCAGGUUGCUGUGGCCCCAGCCUCGCCUGACAGAAUGAGCGGCUCGGAUGGGGGACUGGAGGA
RNAcentral lists this small RNA (547 nucleotides) under Pongo abelii (Sumatran orangutan). RNAcentral describes it as "processed transcript". The record is from RNAcentral. Lineage: Eukaryota; Metazoa; Chordata; Mammalia; Primates; Hominidae.